AUUGAACGCUGGCGGCAUGCUUUACACAUGCAAGUCGAACGGGCUUAGGGGCUUGCUCCUAAGUUAGUGGCGAACGGGUGAGUAAUACAUCGGAACGUACCGUGUAGUGGGGGAUAACGUAGCGAAAGUUACGCUAAUACCGCAUACGAUUUACGGAUGAAAGUGGGGGGACCUUCGGGCCUCACGCUAUACGAGCGGCCGAUGUCUGAUUAGCUAGUUGGUGAGGUAAAGGCUCACCAAGGCAACGAUCAGUAGCGGGUCUGAGAGGAUGAUCCGCCACACUGGGACUGAGACACGGCCCAGACUCCUACGGGAGGCAGCAGUGGGGAAUUUUGGACAAUGGGCGAAAGCCUGAUCCAGCCAUGCCGCGUGUCUGAAGAAGGCCUUCGGGUUGGUAAAGGAACUUUUGUUCAGGGAGCGAAAACUUAAG
Molecule: ribosomal RNA, 430 nt
Filed under: uncultured bacterium
Lineage: Bacteria
Description: bacterial SSU rRNA
Rfam family: Bacterial small subunit ribosomal RNA
Source: RNAcentral